This 549-nucleotide ribosomal RNA is filed under the name Aureobasidium thailandense. Its description in RNAcentral is "partial large subunit ribosomal RNA". It matches the Rfam family "Eukaryotic large subunit ribosomal RNA", at positions 94 to 658 of the family's 3401-position model. Lineage: Eukaryota; Fungi; Ascomycota; Dothideomycetes; Dothideales; Saccotheciaceae. The record is from RNAcentral.
UGAAGCGGCAACAGCUCAAAUUUGAAAGCUGGCCUUCGGGUCCGCAUUGUAAUUUGUAGAGGAUGCUUUGGGGCAGCCGCCUGUCUAAGUUCCUUGGAACAGGACGUCAUAGAGGGUGAGAAUCCCGUAUGUGACAGGACAUGGCACCCUAUGUAAAGCUCCUUCGACGAGUCGAGUUGUUUGGGAAUGCAGCUCUAAAUGGGAGGUAAAUUUCUUCUAAAGCUAAAUACCGGCGAGAGACCGAUAGCGCACAAGUAGAGUGAUCGAAAGAUGAAAAGCACUUUGGAAAGAGAGUUAAAAAGCACGUGAAAUUGUUGAAAGGGAAGCGCUUGCAAUCAGACUUGUUUUGACUGUUCGGCCGGUCUUCUGACCGGUUUACUCAGUCUGGACAGGCCAGCAUCAGUUUUGGCGGCCGGAUAAAGGCCCAGGGAAUGUGGCUCUCACUUCGGUGGGAGUGUUAUAGCCCUGGGUGUAAUACGGCCAGCCGGGACUGAGGUCCGCGCUUCGGCUAGGAUGCUGGCGUAAUGGUUGUAAGCGACCCGUCUUGAA